RNAcentral lists this ribosomal RNA (406 nucleotides) under uncultured bacterium. RNAcentral describes it as "partial 16S ribosomal RNA". It matches the Rfam family "Bacterial small subunit ribosomal RNA", at positions 30 to 526 of the family's 1533-position model. The record is from RNAcentral.
AUUGAACGCUGGCGGCAGGCUUAACACAUGCAAGUCGAGCGAGCGGCGGACGGGUGAGUAAUGUAUGGGGAUCUGCCUGAUAGAGGGGGAUAACUACUGGAAACGGUGGCUCAUACCGCAUACUAUCGGAUGUACCCAGAUGGGAUUAGCUAGUAGGUGGGGUAAUGGCUCACCUAGGCGACGAUCCCUAGCUGGUCUGAGAGGAUGCUCAGCCACACUGGAACUGAGACACGGCCCAGACUCCUACGGGAGGCAGCAGUGGGGAAUAUUGCACAUUGGGCGCAAGCCUGAUGCAGCCAUGCCGCGUGUGUGAAGAAGGCCUUAGGGUUGUAAAGCACUUUCAGCGAGGAGGCGUUACCCGCAGAAGAAGCACCGGCUAACUCCGUGCCAGCAGCCGCGGUAAUAC